UAAAGAGUCAACAUUUGGGUCACGGCCCUUCAUCAGAUAUGUUCUUUUUCAAGCGGAGAAUCAGAACUAGCCACCUCUGCUGUAUCUUUAAUGUUGGUAAAUCAAGAUCCAUCAGAAGACACAAGUGUGCUUCAAUGCUCAGGGAAAAUAUCAGGGCAGAAAGUGAUUGGAAACUCAGCCAUAAUGUUAGAUGAUGAAAUGCCUCGAGUGGCUUUGUGGCCUUCCCCCACGCCCAUUUCUUAUGUCCUAGUAUUCAAUUGAUAAAAAUGUCCUGAAGGAAAGUAGACCUCCCUUCUGCCCCGCUCACUGAUAAUUGAACUGAAUCGUGUGGUAUCCUGGUCAAACCUCCUAUGCGUUCCAAGACAAAGCACCCUCAGCCCCAGAGCCAAUCUAUUCCAAAUCUUAGACCACAGGCUUCAAUCAACUGUAAUUUUCUGCACUUUGUCCUGUAUUGGCAUGAUAACAUUUGAAAUGCAGAAUCCAUUUGAUUUAAACUGAGUUUCUGCAACAUUUUGAGUAAAUUUAGAACAAAAUGUGCUGGAAGCAGGCUCUGUGCACCCAAUCCACCCAACUACCCCACUCUCUCCCAGUAUUUCUGCUGGUUGCACUCACUUGCAGAUCCUUUAUGAACCCCUAAAAAUGAAACUAGUUCUUCAAGUCAACAGGAUGUUAAUAAGCAUUUAAAUGGUUUAUGAAAGUGAUAUUUUUUCUAAAUUCCUAAGAAGCUGACUGUAUUUCAGUAGAACCAAUAAAUUGCUCUGUAUAUUUCUUAAAACAUAUUAAUAGACAUUAAAAUUAAAUUACUAUUAUUAAAAAUACUAACAAAAUACUAACACUUUCAAUUUAUAUCGAGAAAAAGUAUGACCUAAAACAAAUUUCUUUAAAAA
Molecule: long non-coding RNA, 887 nt
Organism: Hypanus sabinus (Atlantic stingray)
Lineage: Eukaryota; Metazoa; Chordata; Chondrichthyes; Myliobatiformes; Dasyatidae
Exons: 3
Source: RefSeq, a predicted model, not a curated record